Cygnus olor (mute swan) is the source of this 2926-nucleotide long non-coding RNA. RefSeq lists it as uncharacterized. The transcript has 5 exons. The record is from RefSeq and is a predicted model, not a curated record. Lineage: Eukaryota; Metazoa; Chordata; Aves; Anseriformes; Anatidae.
GAGAUGCAAGGUGACUCCAGGGGUGAUGAGUGGGAUUGCUCAUUGCUUGCAGCUGCACCCGAAGGGGGCAGCAACUUCCGCAGAUAAAUGGGCAGCUGGUGCAGCCUCUGCUCCCCUAGGGCACCUUCUCUGCUGUUAGCUUGGAAGAGCAGUUCUGUGCCAUGCAAGGGGAGCCUCAUCCCCAUGGAGGUGGUGUUUGCUGAGGUGAAGCUCUUUUGACCUGCCUAGCUAAUCAUUUAAAAGUUAGUAUGCUUGGUGGUUGUUGAAGAUAGCAGUGAUAAACCUCUUUGCUUUAAAUGUUCAUAAACUAUGUAAAUCUAAUACAUCAGGUCGACUGCUCCAGUGGUUGUCCCUGAAUCCUUUGAUUUUGAAAAAGGAAAUUCAAAUCCAGCAAAGCGGAUCAAGAGGGCGUUCAUGAAGUGCACCAAGGAGCAGCCUAGGAUGAUCCAGAAGGAAUCUGCAAACUGUUCGCUGUGAAAGACUUGAGGGAUGUUUUUUUUUCUGGAAGCAUAUGGCCAAAAAGAGAAGAUGAAUUAAUGAGAAGUGGAGAAGUCCUACACUAAGACAGUAGGAUACCAAGAUAAAACAAGGUGUCAAAUAUUGAAGUGUGUGGCUAUGAAACCCAGUGCUGCUCAGACAUGCUAAAGUGCACUUCAGUGCAUUAAAUGACAGACGUGUAUAUUGUACAUGGUGGUUCUGCUUUCUGGGAUGCUCACAGGGAGCUUUGGCUCAGGCUGAAUGGGUUUCCUAUAGCCUCAGGGAGUGUGAACUGGCCUCUCUCAGUGUCUGGUCUCUAAAAUCUGAAAACAAUUUGUGAAGAGGACAUCAAUGCUUGCCAUCGGUUGUCAGUGAAAGCAGGGGGGUGAAGCCGGGACCUGCUGCUGGGCUCAUGGACGGAGCUGUUCAGGCUGUGACUGGGCAAUGGUUUGGGUGCACGCGCUGCCAGAGAUGGCCUUGCAGCAUUACCUCUUCAGCAUGUGCUACAUAAAGGAUUCCAGGGCAGAUAAACAGCCUACAAUGUGCUUGUAACAUUGAGUGGGACUUACUGAAGUAUUUCACUAUUAAUGCUUGACUUGCACAGAAGGAAAUUAAAAGGUAAAAUAAUGCCCUUAGGCAGACUGGGCAGGCUGUUUUGGGCCUGCUGAGGCUCUUAGGUUCCACUCAGACCUGCUCAUGCUGCUGCCCUGGGUGAUGAUCUGCUGUUGGUGGUGGGCUGGGCCACCAGGCACCUGCUCUCUCUAGGGGGGGAUGCUGCCCUACCACAGGUGUACCACAGCUUCUCUUCAUGCCUGAGACCCCCCCAGGCCAGAGAUUAAAUCCAGCAUUAGGUUCAGAUUCUGAGAACAGGCAUUAAAGCACCUGCUUCAAACUUCAUUUCUCCAUGUAAAAAAAAAAAAAGACAUUUACUGAUGUUGAGUGAAUUACUCUUCCAUUUUUUUCUUUACGGAAUUCCCGAAAGCUUUGAAUGCCUAAUGUCUGUUUUCAGAGAAACUAUUGGUAGAAUCACCCUAGCAAUACAUUAACAUAUUCUAGCCAUAACGCGAUGAACUUAAGAAAGCAGAAGUGUACAGACAGGAGCUUGAGCAAGGCAAGGAAAUGGUCUCAAGGUCUGGGAGUCUCAGCAGCUGAUAAGCAGCUGAUAAGGAGCAGAAGCCAGCUGCCUGCCUCUGGCUUGGGGUGGCUUUCCCUGCAGGAUGGGGUGCCCAGGUGGCCACUCAGCAGCACCAGGGCCAGGCCCCUGCCUGAGGCAGGCGAGAGCCCCGUGGUCCUGUCAGUGCUGGCCAGGGGCCCCAGCAGGUCUCGGCCACAGGGCUGGCAACUGCUCAUGGGAAGGGACAGCUCGACCCACGGUAGGAAACGAGUUCCUUGGGGCUUUGUGGACUGCUCUGAAAACUUUCUGCAGCCUAUACCUGCAGGGCAGCGCAGCUUUCUUCACAGCCACAGCGUGCAGCGGUACCGAGAGCUUCCAGCUAGCUAAAUAGAUUAGUAAUGGAAUUUAGAGAAGGUAAGUCUUCAUAUUGUACUAAAUGAGUCUAGUCUACUGCUUUGAAAAAAAUAUUAUGUAGUAGACCAUUUAUGAUGCCUAAUCUGGUAACCUUACUUUGCCUUAGAUGACUCAUGUAAGCAAUUUGCCAGUGCUGCUUUAGCAGAUUGCUUCCAAAUUUUGUUUUGUAAUAAUUUCAGGUGGCAUACAGUAUGUAUAAGAAAUGACUGUUUAUCAUCUGUUUAGUGUUGUUACAUGCAAAAUGUCUUCGCUUGAUCACUUCAUUGAUCUUCUUAUCCUUGAAGAUGAACAGGUUAUGAAUAUUACAUGUAAAGCAAAACCACUGCUAACAGUCUUCCAUAAGAUUUUGAAUGUUGAUUACUAAGUUCAAUUUGCAGAUCAAUUGUCUGAAUGUCAGCUAGUAUUAACCAGAUAUUUUUCCAAUUAAUACAGCAAAUUACUAAUUUGUCUGCUUUGUUUCUCAGCAGCAGCAAAAUGCUUCCAUACCCCUAUUUCUUUCAUGAGAUUCCUGCUAGUUUAUUUUUCUUUCAUGACAGAGUAGAGGAUGUAAUGUUGACAUGCGCAGGAAGAUGAUAGAGAUUAAUUGACAAACAAUAUAUGCAUUUACUUUUAAAAAAUGUAUCUUUUGAAUUGUAGAUAUCUGUGUAAUUAAAACACAAACUGCUGAAAACAUUAGUAUGGCUUUGCUAGUAUCAGAAAAGAGUAAUUUAAACCUGAAGAUUGAAAUGCUGUAAGGGUAGCAUUAGGCUUUAGAAAAUUUCAUGCCUGUUAAGGUCUGCGUACAAACAAGGGGGUAUCAGGGCAGUUAUCCUGGUUCCCUCAGCAGUGAGCAGCACAGUGCUAAAUAAUUCAAGCGCCUUUCUUACUCACAUGAAAACUGAAAAGGUCUCCCCCCGAGCCCGCACUGUCUCACUCGCUCGC